GGCUGGGUUGGGUCAGCUAUAUGUUGUCCCAUUUUUUGGUUGGACCUGACCUAAUUCAGUCCAUCAAAUUUUAGGCCUUUUUGGGCUGGGCCAGAUAGACCGGCAGCUCUAUAUACAUCUUGUCAAAAUUAAUGAGUGCGAUAGCAAAUAAAAGGAGCUCAAUGAACUUAAGAAUGUAGCCCAAUUUAAUGAAUGCCCAAUCAACCCAAUGCAUAUAGAAGCAGCCCAUCUACCGGUCAAAGCAAUCAAGCCUCAA
Molecule: long non-coding RNA, 256 nt
Filed under: Elaeis guineensis (African oil palm)
Lineage: Eukaryota; Viridiplantae; Streptophyta; Magnoliopsida; Arecales; Arecaceae
Description: long non-coding RNA (EGUI_LNC030575)
Source: RNAcentral